GGGUGUAGCACAGUUUGGUAGUGCGCCUGGUUCGGGACCAGGAGGUCGUGGGUUCGAAUCCCGUCACU
RNAcentral lists this transfer RNA (68 nucleotides) under pig gut metagenome. It matches the Rfam family "tRNA", at positions 5 to 66 of the family's 71-position model. Rfam says of the family: Transfer RNA (tRNA) molecules are approximately 80 nucleotides in length. Their secondary structure includes four short double-helical elements and three loops (D, anti-codon, and T loops). The record is from RNAcentral.